GUGUGUGAAGAAGGCCUUCGGGUUGUAAAGCACUUUCAGUCGUGAGGAAGGUGGUGUAGUUAAUAGCUGCUUUAUUUGACGUUAGCGACAGAAGAAGCACCGGCUAACUCCGUGCCAGCAGCCGCGGUAAUACGGAGGGUGCGAGCGUUAAUCGGAAUUACUGGGCGUAAAGCGCAUGCAGGUGGUUUGUUAAGUCAGAUGUGAAAGCCCGGGGCUCAACCUCGGAAUAGCAUUUGAAACUGGCAGACUAGAGUACUGUAGAGGGGGGUAGAAUUUCAGGUGUAGCGGUGAAAUGCGUAGAGAUCUGAAGGAAUACCGGUGGCGAAGGCGGCCCCCUGGACAGAUACUGACACUCAGAUGCGAAAGCGUGGGGAGCAAACAGGAUUAGAUACCCUGGUAGUCCACGCCGUAAACGAUGUCUACUUGGAGGUUGUGGCCUUGAGCCGUGGCUUUCGGAGCUAACGCGUUAAGUAGACCGCCUGGGGAGUACGGUCGCAAGAUUAAAACUCAAAUGAAUUGACGGGGGCCCGCACAAGCGGUGGAGCAUGUGGUUUAAUUCGAUGCAACGCGAAGAACCUUACCUACUCUUGACAUCCAGAGAACUUUCCAGAGAUGGAUUGGUGCCUUCGGGAACUCUGAGACAGGUGCUGCAUGGCUGUCGUCAGCUCGUGUUGUGAAAUGUUGGGUUAAGUCCCGCAACGAGCGCAACCCUUAUCCUUGUUUGCCAGCGAGUAAUGUCGGGAACUCCAGGGAGACUGCCCGGUGAUAAACCGGGAGGAAGGUGGGGACGACGUCAAGUCAUCAUGGCCCUUACGAGUAGGCCUACACACGUGCUACAAUGGGCGCAUACA
RNAcentral lists this ribosomal RNA (851 nucleotides) under Vibrio sp. RNAcentral's name for it is "bacterial SSU rRNA". It matches the Rfam family "Bacterial small subunit ribosomal RNA", at positions 401 to 1241 of the family's 1533-position model. Lineage: Bacteria; Pseudomonadati; Pseudomonadota; Gammaproteobacteria; Vibrionales; Vibrionaceae. The record is from RNAcentral.